RNAcentral lists this unclassified non-coding RNA (369 nucleotides) under Bombus terrestris (buff-tailed bumblebee). RNAcentral describes it as "misc RNA ENSBTSG00005038506.1". The record is from RNAcentral. Lineage: Eukaryota; Metazoa; Arthropoda; Insecta; Hymenoptera; Apidae.
GGCAAAGAAAGACAGCAAUAAAACUAGAAGGAGCGUUCGCCCUUUGAAAGGUGCAUCUCAUUUUGGUUGCAAAGCAAACAUAAUCAAGCCACUUUCACCCGGGCUUUACGACCCACGAUAAAUGAUACAAAAUUAUAUUUAUCACAAGAUAUGAAGGAUUCGCAAGAUGAGGUUUCCUCACCCUCUCGAGCCUUCGUUCCCCGGCGUUGCCUAACGACGUGUAACGGGUAUAAACUUUGAAGCAAAGUAAUCAAAGGCGACCUACUUUCGCUCAAAGGACCAAAGGAAAAGGCUAUUCAUACUAAUAAUCGUAAUUAUUCGAUUAAAUAUUUUUCUUUUUCCUUUCAUUUUUAAUAAAGUCUCUCUACC